GUGUGCACGAGCUCGUGUCGGCUGGAGGGAGGUGUGGAUCCACUACCCUUUGCUAAGGGCCACCUUGCUUCCCCAUAGGCAGAUACGUGCUCUUGCACAUGGCCUGGCCAUCUGCAGUCUAAUUCACCCUGCAUCUCACCUGGUGCCAUACCUCCCUUCCCUAAAUAAAAGAGCUGGGAAGCAGCAUGGCAUUGAGAACCAGCCCUGGGUAGCAGAUCAGAGGAGCCUGAGCUUACAUGGUCACACUAGAUGUUAAGCAGGCUUAUUUCCCCUCUGCUCUCCCAUGCUGUCCCAUCUGCACAGGCUGGUAUCUGCAUCCUUGCUUCCUGUUGAUCACACACACUUCAGUGACCCCACUGAUGGCAUCCAUCAACCAGUCAAGGCUCUACAUGUCUCCAGACAGCCGUUAUUCCAAUUCCACAUCGCUACCCUGGAAAAAAAGUCCUCAGCUCCUCUCUAGAGAGGGGUGGGAAUCAAAACAUUGACAGCAAUAUAUGGCCACAGCUACUAAAGUAACUUUACUGAGGAUGGGUUCGUGCCUAGCUGUACCCUGUGCCCUUUCAGUUUGCCUGAAGAGGGCAUGUGGCUCCUCUGUUCCUGUCUAAACACACAGGAAACCGGCCAGCUGCAUGAUCUGACGCUCUAAAUUUGAGCAGCAUCUUCACUGCUUCAUCCUGCCUCUGCAGAGCAGGCAGCGAGCACGCACCUGCAGCUCCGGUUUUGCCUCUUGCUGAGGUCACCAGUUUGUCAUCCGCAGCCCUGAAUGCUGCGCAGCAAGGAGGAGCACGUCUGCGAGUGCAUUCCUGCAGAAGAGGGGAAAUGCAGGGUGGAGCAGCAACCAGCAGCUGACACUGUUUGCUACGCACUUGCUCACCACGAGGCUCAGGACGCUGCCCGCUCCUUGAAUGUUUCCUUGAUUACUUAUUCCCAGCAUACUCACACACACAAACACACACUCACCCGCUUCUCUCAGAAGACUGGAAGGACGGGCUACCAGGAAAACAAUAGCAUUUCUCCCACUCGCAGCUGUGUGACAUUUGUUUUUGUUUCUCCAGGUGGCUUUUCUGUGCUAGCAGAACAUCUCACUCCUCAGAUUUUGACUUCUCUUGCCUCUUCUUGUCGGUGUUGGACACGGCCAUCAGUAGACACAGUUCUGAGCAAUCACCGAGGAAGGUUUUUCUUAUGCACUGUGGUAAUUGUGUCAGAACUCAAGGCAGUCCCACCGGUGUUCAGGUUUCAUCUGCCAUUCCCAGAGGAUUUCAUUACUCCCGCACAACCCUUUUUUCCUAGCAAGAUUUCACAUUGCCAGCGUGGACUUACCAAAUUGAUUCCCCGGAAGAAAAUAUCACGAUUAUAUUCACAAAGCUGAGAGGAAGACAGCCACUUUUUAUUCGCUCAUAAAGGAUGUGGGAGUCCUGGGUUUAAUUUCCUCCUCUGCCUGGGGGAACUAGAACCAGCAUCACUUAUCUCCCAAGAGAAUGCCAUAAGGUUGUGCUGUGCUGCAUACUAAGCAGUGAGGCUGCAAGUAAAAGUCAACACCUGAAGAGGAAGUAAUAAUUUUUGUCUUUGCUCUCCUUUCCUCUCCCCUCCUGCAUGCCUGUGUCUUCAAAUGAGCAAAGCAGAAUCCCAAAAUGAGUACUAACAGCAGAUCCAGUCUAUCUCAAUGAGUGUCUCCCAAAAAACAAACCUCACAGGACUGUGCCCCGUUGGCCACCAGACUAGAGGGACAGCCUCUCAGCUCCACUAUCCCCCUGUGAGUGGGAUCCCUUCUUCUCACUUCUCUUUUGGGUGCUUGAAUGUUUUGCUUUCAAUUAAAUGCAAUUUUCACUGUGAAAUACAGCUAUUCCUUUGCAGUUUUUCAGCAAGAGACAUAAAACCUAACCAGACUCAUCUGUUCCUACUGAGGUGAUGUUUUCUUCUUUCCUGCUGAACCAAACAGCACUUAUUCAUAUCUCGCUGCUAUUUUUAAGAGUGGGGCCCAGCUGUAUGGCAUUCAGAAGCACCACUAAAACUUCAACAGCAGAGUACACAUCAUAGUACAUUCUGGUUAGAGAAAUGACUGGCAGUCAUUUUUGCAAUGAGUGCUGUCUGUAUCGAUGCAUGUGUGCGUAUUUAUUACAUUAGUCACCUCCGCUACUAGAAUGACUUGCAAUUAAGAUUGCUGUAGUACCUGAAAUGUCACAUUGCUUGCCUUCAUUCUGAAAGGGGCACUGCCUUAACCAGAUAAAGCAAAGAGAGACAUAUGAGGGCAUGACCAGACUUAUCCUUAUAACCACAUUAGAAUGGCUGGAAAUGUUACCACUUCUCAGCAGAGAAGUAUAUUUUAGCUGGGACAGAGUCACUGGCCGCAUGUAAGCUCUCAGUCUCUUGAACUGCAAAGCAAGAUGACUUUCAGACGUGAAAGGAACUAACCCAUUUCAUUUUGCAUUUGCCAUACAUGCCCAUAGGGUUCUCACAUCUUCGCUGAGAGACAACCACCUCCAACCACAGUGGCACACAUUUCCUAAGUUCUUAUAGUGUGACACAAAGAACAUAAGCUGAUACGCAAACACAGUAAUUAGUAUAGGAGUACCCACCUGGCUGAUGCGCUGCAUCCGUUUGCUUGUGCUCAGAGGUUGGUAUGAGCUUACAUUUUAUCUCACGUGUGAAGUGUGGAGCCAGGACCUGCCCCUCCAGCAGGUUAUGGCAUGUGCUCGCUGCUUGGGCCUCCCAGGAACUCCAGCAGGUCACUGAGAAUCACAGUGCAAGGCACCAACAGUCCUGGUCUUUGUUCACAAGGCCCUUUCCUUCGAACAGCAUAGAAAAACAAUCAGAUCACUUACUGUCAGUGGGCAGCGUUGAACCCUGAAUAUUGGGAUGGCUGCAUGGCAUAGACAAGCCGUUCAACUUACUCUUUUGCUCUUCUGAACUAAUCAACUCGGAUGGUCAAACUGGCACAAAAGUACGUUUUCUUGUGUUUGGUUUGGUUAUUUUUUUUCCCCCACAGGACUCAUUCGCUUAUGUCAAUCAACUUGAAACAAAAUCAAAUACAAGUUUCCAUGUUUGUGGGUCUCCCGGAGAGGAAAAGGCAGUAAGCAUGUUUGCUGCUAUCCUUUUUCCUUUCAAAUGUUUGUAUUUCAUGAAUUACUCUUGCCACAAAAGUGUUCAUAGUAAAUGCAGAGGAAAGAACAAGAUUACCUGCUUUGAACGCCAUCAGAUUUACGCAUUUGGACAGGAUCUCAUCUGCCAGGUGGUAGAAGAACUUCUGAGUAACUACAAUGAAGUACCCAAGCCAAAGGUUUGGAAAAUUGAUCUGCAGGUAGUACUUAGGGUGACUUAUAUGCUCGUUCAGGCUGCUGUGCUGGUUUCGGGUAGGACAAAACACUCUUUUCUUCUUCUUUUUUUCUUCCAAAAACAUUGUCAGUUCCCUAUAGGCCUGCUCUGCAGGGCUCUAUGGCCAGUUUCCCUAUCGUCUUAAAACAACCCUCCAAACACCUGCUAUCUUUCAAACACCUUUUAUUUUGUACGCCAUAGUAUGAAGUUUUUGUGUGGUUGUUCAAGUCCUUAGUGAAUGUCAGUGGUAGUCUCUGAAAACACCUGACUAAGUAGGAACCAUCUAACCCUUGGGAGCUAUUGACUGCUGCCUCCAAGGGCGUAAUUAGCAAGUGGCAGAACUUGCCAUGCAGGUCAUGUUUUACAAGAUCUCACAGUAUCGGUAUUGAUUAUGAUUAGAUUAGAUUGGGCUGAUGGUAAAUGCUUAUUUAUGAGAUUUUCAGGCAAAUAGUGAAUAUCUUGUCAUGAGCAUCACCAAGUAUGCUUUUCACACAACUCUAGGAUGAGUUAUAAACUUCAUAUAUGCAUGUGCAUGUGUAUGAUAGAAGAGAGAGGACAAGCCACAGAAAGGCCAGGAUCCUGUAUUUAACACCUUACAAGCUGAAGGCACAAAUGAGUUCAACACACCAAGAGGGAAUUUCACAUUAAAAAGAACAGCUUUUGGAAACCCCUAUUCUGCACUUGCCUGCCAGCCGAUGGCACAUAUAAGGAAGAUGGCAGCAAAUACAAUCGGGCUGGCACACCAUGUGUUAUUGCCUUGACACUGAUUGUAAGGAGAUUUUCACACACUUGCGCAAGGGAGAAUGUUAUUUUUCAGUCCUUCCAAAUAUGUCGGUGGUUUUCUGAACCCUUAAAACUCCAUGCAUCUGUUAGAAA
This is a long non-coding RNA of Gallus gallus (chicken), 4188 nucleotides long. NCBI's taxonomy places the organism in Eukaryota, Metazoa, Chordata, Aves, Galliformes, Phasianidae. The record is from Ensembl.